UGCCGGUUCUCCCGCAAUGAUAAGCAGUUAACCCCGCCAGAUCCGGAAGGAAGCAACGGUAGCUGUAAGUCGUGUGCCGGGGUCGGGCUGGCAGGG
RNAcentral lists this signal recognition particle RNA (96 nucleotides) under Pseudomonadales bacterium. Its description in RNAcentral is "signal recognition particle sRNA small type". It matches the Rfam family "Bacterial small signal recognition particle RNA". Rfam says of the family: The signal recognition particle (SRP) is a universally conserved ribonucleoprotein involved in the co-translational targeting of proteins to membranes. Archaeal SRP consists of a 7S RNA and homologues of the eukaryotic SRP19 and SRP54 proteins. Lineage: Bacteria; Pseudomonadati; Pseudomonadota; Gammaproteobacteria; Pseudomonadales. The record is from RNAcentral.